Molecule: long non-coding RNA, 1962 nt
Filed under: Mus musculus (house mouse)
Lineage: Eukaryota; Metazoa; Chordata; Mammalia; Rodentia; Muridae
Description: long non-coding RNA chr18:3616280-3618242
Source: RNAcentral
AGAACCAACAAGAGGGGACUCAUUAACCAACCAGAGGAGCAACUGAAGUGGUUUAAUAAUUAUGUCAAUGGGGACAAAAGGAUCUGUCUUACGUAAAUGGGGAGGGGAAGGGCUGAGAAAUACAAGUUUCUAUUCUUGCAGUCUGCUAGUGGAACAACUAGUGGGGAUGGUCUAUUAACUAAUUGAAUUGCUAGGCUCAAUAGAAAACUCUGAAGGGAGAUCAAAGGGUGUUCCCAGCUACAAAGGCCAGCAGUGACCUUGAACCAGAUGUUUUUCUUCCAACCCUGUCACGCUUGAUAACUGCAGAGGAUGGCAGAAUCUGGCCAGAAGCCUUAUCCAUUCCAACACUGGUUCUAAAGGCAGGGGUUGUGUGUGUGCGCACAGUGUGCUGGCAGGUAUGCACUUUCAUGCCUGACAGUGAGGCCAGAGCACCGUCAGUGCAGAGAGGGCCAGAGUAAGUUUAGCCUGGAAGUCAAAAGUUGUGUUUCUCUUUAUUUAUUUGCAAAGUGAAGAGGCUUAAGGAAUGUGCUGACUGUCAACUUUUCAAAACAUUCCUGUGCCUAAUUGUCUUACUGUUAACUCUGUACAGUCAGAUGAAGGCUACAGCAGUGAGAUUAUAGUUCAACUUUUACCCUAUCUUUUUUUAAUGUUUAGAAUGACAGAGCGAGUAAUCCAAACAAGUAAAAAUUAUUUUAGAUUUUAAAAUUCUUACUUUAUUUAACAUUGGCAUAGUAAGUUCUUUCUUUAUAGCCUAUGAAUUCUGGGAGUGGGACUCAGGUCAUCAGGCCUAGUGGCAAUUGCCUCUAUUGCUGAGACUUCUCUCCAGCUCACAAACAGGAUGUUGAUUUUAGUCAUUUUCCCUGAAAUUGUUUGUUUAUAUCUGUUGCUCAUCUGUUUUAUUUCCAGUUCUGUGUUCUCAGUGUGUGGGUGCAUGUGUGUGUACAUGAGUGUGUGUGUGUGUCUGUCUGUCUGUCUGUGGGUGAGUGUACCUGUGCAUUUCCAAAAGAGGGUAUCAGAUUCCCUGGAACUGGAGUUACAGCUAUUUGUAAACUGCUUGGAAACUAAGCUUGAGUUCUCUAGAAGAGAAAUGGGUCUCUUAACUUCUGAGCCCUCUUGAAGAGCAGUGAGUCUCUUAACUGCUGAGCUAUACCCGCAGCCCUGUUUUUAAACAUCUGGAUAAGCCAUUAUUUAUGCUGAGGCAAAGGUUUUUUUUUGACGUUUCUUUGAAACAUGUUAAUUUAUUAAUACUUAUUUUUCAUGAACUUUCAAAGAUUCCUACAGUCUGAAACACUGAAAAAUUGCAUGUUUAAAAUUGCCUUGAUGUGGCUAGUUUGGUUUGGUCUAAGGUCUUUUUAAAAAUACUGAACUUCAUUCUGUAGUGAUUAUAAAUAUCACCUACUCUGAUAAUACAUCUGAUUGGUAGAAAUGAGGCUCAAGGAUGCUCAGACAAAAUUAGUCUCAGAAAUUUAACUCUUACAGAAGGAAGCUGCCACAAAAUAUGUGGAUGCUUGCAUAUUAACAAAUCUUAAAUUCUCCAUUGAUAGAAACCCAGUGGUUUAUAAAAUUAUAUUUAUUUAUUUAUUUUUGAAUAUACUUGUGACAUGAUAUACCUAUGAAAGUGUAAGGAUAAGUUUUGGCAGCCAGUUGUCUCUUUCCACCUCACAGAUCAAGUUAACAAACAAAUAGGUUUGGUGGCAAUUGCCUUUACCCUAUGAGACAGCCAUGUCAUAGGCUCUAACAUAUAAGGUUUUUCUUUCUUUUUCUAAAGGUAGGUUUCUCCCCCCCCCAUUAUAACUAGAAUUAAAAUGUGGCUUCCCACUAUCUUUGUGUCUAUGUAUGUAUUUAAAUAGAAUAACUGAUACAUAAUGCAUAUUAGUAAUUAUGUAAUUAAUAGAUGAUGCAUGAACAUAUGUGUAUGUGUGUGUUCAGAUAAUUUCCUGCAAAUAUAAUUUGAUAGAGUAG